Molecule: ribosomal RNA, 1278 nt
Filed under: Acinetobacter towneri
Lineage: Bacteria; Pseudomonadati; Pseudomonadota; Gammaproteobacteria; Moraxellales; Moraxellaceae
Description: bacterial SSU rRNA
Rfam family: Bacterial small subunit ribosomal RNA
Source: RNAcentral
UGGCGGCAGGCUUAACACAUGCAAGUCGAGCGGGCGAGGUUGCUUCGGUAACUGAGCUAGCGGCGGACGGGUGAGUAAUGCUUAGGAAUCUGCCUAUUAGUGGGGGACAACAUUCCGAAAGGGAUGCUAAUACCGCAUACGUCCUUCGGGAGAAAGCAGGGGCUCUUUAUGUCCUUGCGCUAAUAGAUGAGCCUAAGUCGGAUUAGCUAGUUGGUGGGGUAAAGGCCUACCAAGGCGACGAUCUGUAGCGGGUCUCAGAGGAUGAUCCGCCACACUGGGACUGAGACACGGGCCAGACUCCUACGGGAGGCAGCAGUGGGGAAUAUUGGACAAUGGGGGGAACCCUGAUCCAGCCAUGCCGCGUGUGUGAAGAAGGCCUUUUGGUUGUAAAGCACUUUAAGUGGGGAGGAGGCUUACCUGGUUAAUACCUGGGAUAAGUGGACGUUACCCACAGAAUAAGCACCGGCUAACUCUGUGCCAGCAGCCGCGGUAAUACAGAGGGUGCGAGCGUUAAUCGGAUUUACUGGGCGUAAAGCGCGCGUAGGUGGUUAAUUAAGUCAAAUGUGACAUCCCCGAGCUUAACUUGGGAAUUGCAUUCGAUACUGGUUAGCUAGAGUAUGGGAGAGGAUGGUAGAAUUCCAGGUGUAGCGGUGAAAUGCGUAGAGAUCUGGAGGAAUACCGAUGGCGAAGGCAGCCAUCUGGCCUAAUACUGACACUGAGGUGCGAAAGCAUGGGGAGCAAACAGGAUUAGAUACCCUGGUAGUCCAUGCCGUAAACGAUGUCUACUAGCCGUUGGGGGAUUUGAUCCUUUAGUGGUGCAGCUAACGCGAUAAGUAGACCGCCUGGGGAGUACGGUCGCAAGACUAAAACUCAAAUGAAUUGACGGGGGCCCGCACAAGCGGUGGAGCAUGUGGUUUAAUUCGAUGCAACGCGAAGAACCUUACCUGGCCUUGACAUAGUAGAGACUUUCCAGAGAUGGAAAGGUGCCUUCGGGAAUCUACAUACAGGUGCUGCAUGGCUGUCGUCAGCUCGUGUCGUGAGAUGUUGGGUUAAGACCCGCAACGAGCGCAACCCUUUUCCUUACUUGCCACCAUUUCGGAUGGGAACUUUAAGGAUACUGCCAGUGACAAACUGGAGGAAGGCGGGGACGACGUCAAGUCAUCAUGGCCCUUACGGCCAGGGCUACACACGUGCUACAAUGGUCGGUACAAAGGGUUGCUACCUAGCGAUGUGAUGCUAAUCUCAAAAAGCCGAUCGUAGUCCGGAUCGCAGUCUGCA